UUACUCUACACUAUUUGUAAAGCACAGUAACCACUAAGUUUGCCAUGCCUUUAAUAUCUUUUUGUGAUGUAAUUGUAAUUCAGUGUUUUUUCUGUCUUGCAGUUACGUCGGAUUACAUACUCCACAACAACCUGUAAUCCAGCAGAUCUUUAAAGAAGCCAUCUCUUGUAAAAUUUCUCUCUCUCUCUCUCUCUCUCUCUCUCUCUCGCUCUGCUAGAAUUAACAGGGAACUUCAACUCCACGCUCCCAAUGCUGAUAUUGAAGAAGCUGUCAAGGGGGCUGAACAAGUCCUUCAAAGGAUCAACCCUUCACAGGAAGGCCUGUCAUGAGAUUUGAAUUUGACCAUCUUGUGCAUUUAUGAAGAAGACCAAAAGCUGCAAAGGCAAACACUUCCAAUGGAUUUCUCACAGAUUACUUAAUCAUUCUUCAUCAGCUCUUCACAAUAUCAGCCCAUUCAAAAGCUUCCAGAUCUUCCUCUCUUGUGUGACACAUCUGCUCUCAGUCCUUUACUGCCAACCUCCAGUCUUAGCAUUUCUGCUUGUAUUCAUUUUUCCUCUACAUUCAUCACUCCAAUCUCUACUAUAAGCACUCCUGUAUAUAUAUAUAUACACAUAAUAAUUAUUAUUAUUAUUAACCAUUUAUUUGUUUUGCAUUUAUUCACAAUAGAAGCAAACAAUGAUUACAGGAUAUAUGUUUUUAAAGGUGAUAAUUGUAAAAUAUUGGAGCAUUGUUCUUAAUCAUUUUUGCCUAUUUGGUUGAUAAAGGGAAGAAAACAAUAUAUUUUCAACUGUAGCCUUGAUUAUUCUUUGGCAUCUUUUGUCAGGAUUCAAGGUAAACAAAUUCCCUUUUUAUUUUUGAAUAUUAAACUUAUGUUUUUUGAAGGGAGUUUCUGUUGCAAUUUUGUUUGUUUGUUUUCACUUAGUUACCUCUAUGCAUUUUUUUUUUUUUUUUUUUUAUCAACUUUUCUUUUUUUUUCAUAGUGGAAUAAACUGGAGAGAGACUGUUCUGGGCACUAUGUUUAUCUGCGAAAAGUUUGACAUAUCAAUAAACACUGUAAAAUGACUAGACAA
Carassius gibelio (silver crucian carp) is the source of this 1070-nucleotide long non-coding RNA. RefSeq lists it as uncharacterized. NCBI's taxonomy places the organism in Eukaryota, Metazoa, Chordata, Actinopteri, Cypriniformes, Cyprinidae. The transcript has 3 exons. The record is from RefSeq and is a predicted model, not a curated record.